UACGACUACAUCACGUUGGAACGCCGGUUCCCGACAGAUAGCCGAAGUUAAACAACGUCGAGCCUGAUCAGUACCUAGAUAGGUUACCGCAUGGGAAUAGCAAGUGCUGUAAU
Molecule: non-coding RNA, 113 nt
Organism: Acanthosepion pharaonis
Lineage: Eukaryota; Metazoa; Mollusca; Cephalopoda; Sepiida; Sepiidae
Source: the annotation of a GenBank genome assembly